Molecule: ribosomal RNA, 378 nt
Filed under: uncultured Gemmatimonadota bacterium
Lineage: Bacteria; Pseudomonadati; Gemmatimonadota
Description: bacterial SSU rRNA
Rfam family: Bacterial small subunit ribosomal RNA
Source: RNAcentral
UAAGACGGAGGGCGCAAGCGUUGUUCGGAAUUACUGGGCGUAAAGGGCAGGUAGGUGGUCUGUUAAGUCUUCUGUGAAAAUCCGGGGCUCAACCCCGCGAAAUGCAGGUGAAACUGGCAGACUUGAGACCGGUAGAGGCUAGCGGAAUUCCUGGUGUAGCGGUGGAAUGCGUAGAUAUCAGGAAGAACACCUGUGGCGAAGGCGGCUAGCUGGGCUGGUUCUGACACUGAACUGCGAAAGCGUGGGGAGCAAACAGGAUUAGAUACCCUGGUAGUCCACGCCGUAAACGAUGGGCACUAGAUGCCGGGCAUAUAGACGUGUUCGGUGUCGGCGCUAACGCAUUAAGUGCCCCGCCUGGGGAGUACGGUCGCAAGGCUG